This is a long non-coding RNA of Manis javanica (Malayan pangolin), 661 nucleotides long. RefSeq lists it as uncharacterized. Lineage: Eukaryota; Metazoa; Chordata; Mammalia; Pholidota; Manidae. The record is from RefSeq and is a predicted model, not a curated record.
CCCGAUUAGGGAAGGAAGGUGUACGAGCACCUUCUUUUUAGCCUUCUGGUCGGCUGGAAUGAACAGACCAGGAGAGAGAAACUGCAAGUGGAAACUCCGAGGAAGCAGGAGCCAUCCCCACUGGUGUGGCUUUGACAGUAGAGGGGACACGAGGGACUGUUCUGCAGUUGGCUCACCCCAGACUGCCCAUCACUCAAACCAGAGAUAAAGCUGCGGCCAAGUGCAUCACUCCCUGCUUUUCCUUCUGCUAAAGAACAUACAGGCUCCUAAACCUCUGCAUGGAUUUGGAGGCCCACAAGUCAGUUUAAGAUGAUGCAGAUAUUCAUGCUAUCACUGGAAUUAUGCUCAAAGCAGGAAAACCUGAUCUGGAAAGAGAGAAGCAUCUACUAAAGCAAUUCAGGAGAGACAGGUGCUCCAGAAGAAACUACAUUUUUCAAGAAUACCAAUUUGAUGGAAUUUAAAUAUUAAGAUGUCAACUCUGAAGGGAGGUCACGACAAGUUCUUAGGCAAAUAAUCAAUUUGCUUUUAUAAAGUAGUGGAAUAUCACUGAGUUGACAGUACCAUAGUGAUCAAUUUUCCCCUUUCCCUCCUGACUGGAAAUGAUUUGGUUUUACAACUGGAAACCCAAAAAAACAAAGGUAUUUUUAAAAUAAAUGAAGCC